RNA transcript from Argentina anserina (silverweed cinquefoil), 1887 nucleotides. RefSeq lists it as uncharacterized. NCBI's taxonomy places the organism in Eukaryota, Viridiplantae, Streptophyta, Magnoliopsida, Rosales, Rosaceae. The transcript is spliced from 4 exons. The record is from RefSeq and is a predicted model, not a curated record.
CUGAGCAACUCCAAGUAGCUCAUCUUCAUCUUUCAUUUCUGUAAAUAAGCCUCUAAUCCCCUAAACCCUAAUUCAGAUUCUCCCAAAACCCCAAAAUGUCUCAUCCCCACAAAGCCCUGGAUUCACGGCACCCCUUAGAUUUGUGCACAUUUCAACUCCAUAGCUGGAGACCUUUCCAGGCCCCCAAAACCCUAGACUCCUCCGAUCCCACCAACCCCAAACCCUACCACAACACCAAGCGCCCAUGCCUCUCCAACCGCGCGACGUCGUUUUCCAUCGACGCCAUCGACAUGUCCCGGCUGACUUUGGUCGACGACGACCGGACCAUCUCCGGAGGGCACGGGAGCUUCCGAUUCAUCGCCAGGAAGAGGCGGCGGCGCGGGUCGAGGUCGGUGUCGGGUCGGAGCAGCGAUCGGAGCGGGACCCGGAGGUGCUGCUCCGUCGGGGCUUCGGCGGCUUACGGGACGUGUUCGGAUUUUCCGGUGGCGAUUGGGACGGACUCGAGUGGGGAGCUGUUUGGGAAUGGGGAUGCGAAUUGGGCGUCGGAUGUGAGUGAGGCUAAGAAUUCGAGGAAGGAGAGGGAGGGAGUUGGGAGUGGAGAUAAGGAGAAUCAGGGUGCCGGGUUUGGGCCGGGUGGGGGGUUUGAUGCUCAGGGGAAUGAGUCCGGGUAUGGUAGCGAACCGGGUUACCGUGGGGAUGCAGAGUUCGGGUACGGUGAUGAACUUGAUGAGGAGGAGGAUGAUGCUCGUUUGUUGUUUUGGGGCAAUCGAUUUGGAGAUAGCGAUAGCAUGAUGGAGGUUGUGGGUGAGAAUACUUUCACAGAUCAAAAAUCGCAUCACAGAUGUCGCCGUAAGAAACAUGAUUGCAGAAUGGCUGUAGAUUCACCGAGGUGACCAAAUCGGUUGGACAGACUUGAUACAGAAGGCUUCAUUUUACAUCAUCUUGGCCUCAAUUUCCCAUUUGAAAAGAUUCUGAGAAAGUUGUUCCCUGGAGGGUAUCUGUUUAUGAAGUCCCACAUCUUGUCAUCCUUAUCAUUUUGAGAGUGAGAGACAGCUCUUGGUAAAUAUCAACAAUUCGAUUCGGAAUUUUGGGUUCAUGCCACUAUAUGUCACAUCUUUUUCAUUUUAUGCUUCAAAGGAUUCUGAGUGUGCAAUUGUGCAUUAUACUUAUCAAAUCAGCUGAAGCAGAAAGAAAGUUUUCUUUGAGGAAGCCAUGUCUGUGGUUAUUCCAAACAUGUAUCAGUAAAUGCUUGUACCUCACGUCUUCUUGGUUCGGUAAAAGCCCAAAACCCUGAAAUCCACUAAAAUAUACAUCCAUUUAGCGAACGAUGUUGUUAGCUUGAAAAUAUAAUUCAGAGAAAAGCUUAGACUGGAGAAGAGAGGCUGAAGUGAGAUGGCGACAGCAGAAGCACUGCAGGCCGACAGAUCGCUGCCCAGAGCGACUCGGAAAUCGUUUGCCGGAGAUACGGUGAUGCUGAAGGGAUCCGCGGCGGAGGUCUGACAGAAAUUCGAAGAGAAUAGGGGCGUGAUGUCAGAGGCGGAGAUCCAGAGACUCCUUGGCGAGGCUCGUGAGGCCUCCAGCUUCAUCUCCACCAUGAUCGUUCAGGCCAAGCUCAUCUCCCGCCGCGGCUACGAGUGAAGCCGGAAAAGGUUCCUGCCGGAGCUACGCUUGAGAUUCUUUCUGAAGAAAUCCUUCGCAAAUCUUAAUCUCAAUGCAACAUGAACAAUCAGAGACAAGUAAUUGAGGAACAUGGCGGCGUUGCUUAAUUUUAUUUUCUGUGCUGAAAAGCUUUCAAUGUUAUUCUAGAGCCAUUGUUGUGCUCAAAUUUCUCACUCCUUUUCCAUAUGAUGAUCAAUGAUACUUUGGCUUAUUGAACAAUCUUUCGCA